GAUUCCCCUAGUAACUGCGAGUGAAGCGGGAAGAGCUCAAAUUUGAAAUCUGGCAGUCUCUUUUUUCUUCUUUGGCUGUCCGAGUUGUAAUCUAGAGAAGUGCUUACCUGCGCUGGACCAUGUAUAAGUCUCCUGGAAUGGAGCGUCGCAGAGGGUGAGAAUCCCGUCUUUGACAUGGACUGCCAGUGUGUUGUGGUGUGCUCUCAAAGAGUCGAGUUGUUUGGGAAUGCAGCUCUAAAUGGGUGGUAAACUCCAUCUAAAGCUAAAUAUUGGCGAGAGACCGAUAGUGAACAAGUACCGUGAGGGAAAGAUGAAAAGGACUUUGGAAAGAGAGUUAAACAGUAUGUGAAAUUGUUGAAAGGGAAACGCUUGAAGUCAGUUAUGUUGGCUAGGGAUCAACCUAGCUACUUUGCUGGGUGAAUUUCCUAGUCUUACAGGCCAACAUCAGUCUUGACUGCUGGAAAAGAGCAGAGGGAAUGUGGCACCUUCGGGUGUGUUAUAGCCCUUUGUCAUAUGUGGCAGUCGGGACUGAGGGAUGCAGCAUGCCGCGAGGCUGGGUUUCUGACCACGUUCAUGCUUAGGAUGUUGGCUUUUAAUGGCUUCAAUCGACCCGUCUUGAAACACGGACCAAGGAGUCUAACAUGCCUGCGAGUGUUUGGGUGGGGAAAACCCUUGUGCACAAUGAAAGUGAAAGUUGAGAUCCCUGUCAUGGGGAGCAUCGACGCCCGGACUUGAGCUUUUAGCGACGGAUCCGCGGUAGAGCAUGCAUGUUGGGACCCGAAAGAUGGUGAACUAUGCCUGAAUAGGGCAAAGCCAGAGGAAACUCUGGUGGAGGCUCGUAGCGAUUCUGACGUGCAAAUCGAUCGUCAAAUUUGGGUAUAG
This 882-nucleotide ribosomal RNA is filed under the name Amanita sp. Its description in RNAcentral is "partial large subunit ribosomal RNA". It matches the Rfam family "Eukaryotic large subunit ribosomal RNA", at positions 73 to 920 of the family's 3401-position model. The record is from RNAcentral. Lineage: Eukaryota; Fungi; Basidiomycota; Agaricomycetes; Agaricales; Amanitaceae.